AGCGAACGCUGGCGGCAGGCUUAACACAUGCAAGUCGAACGGGCACUUCGGUGCUAGUGGCCGACGGGUGAGUAACACGUGGGAACGUACCUUUCGGUUCGGAAUAAUCCAGGGAAACUUGGACUAAUACCGGAUACGCCCUUCGGGGGAAAGAUUCAUCGCCGAUAGAUCGGCCCGCGUCUGAUUAGCUAGUUGGUGAGGUAAUGGCUCACCAAGGCGACGAUCAGUAGCUGGUCUGAGAGGAUGAUCAGCCACAUUGGGACUGAGACACGGCCCAAACUCCUACGGGAGGCAGCAGUGGGGAAUAUUGGACAAUGGGCGCAAGCCUGAUCCAGCCAUGCCGCGUGAGUGAUGAAGGCCUUAGGGUUGUAAAGCUCUUUUGUCCGGGAAGAUAAUGACUGUACCGGAAGAAUAAGCCCCGGCGAACUUCGU
Molecule: ribosomal RNA, 432 nt
Filed under: uncultured bacterium
Lineage: Bacteria
Description: partial 16S ribosomal RNA
Rfam family: Bacterial small subunit ribosomal RNA
Source: RNAcentral